Molecule: small RNA, 86 nt
Filed under: Mariniflexile fucanivorans
Lineage: Bacteria; Pseudomonadati; Bacteroidota; Flavobacteriia; Flavobacteriales; Flavobacteriaceae
Description: Flavo-1 RNA
Source: RNAcentral
UUGCCUUAGGGAUAGCAGUGGAAAGCCCGCAGCGAACCGCGCAUAAGCGCGGGAGCGAGGACUUGGAACGCAUAGCCCGACCCCGA